This 497-nucleotide long non-coding RNA is filed under the name Setaria italica (foxtail millet). Its description in RNAcentral is "long non-coding RNA (SITA_LNC004169)". The record is from RNAcentral. Lineage: Eukaryota; Viridiplantae; Streptophyta; Magnoliopsida; Poales; Poaceae.
GCCGCGGUGCUGGGGCCGGCGGCAGGGUAGGCUGUCACUGGUUCACCUGCCUUUGCCGGCUUGCCCGAGGCUGGCGGGUAGCCGGAUUGGGGCGGAUAAGCGGUUGCCGGCGCGUCGGCCUUGCCGGUGGGCGGAUAGGCGGUGGGAGGUGAGUACGCGUCGGCCUUGGCGGCCGGCGGGUAGGCGGAGGGAGGCGGGUACGCGUCGGCCUUGGCUGCCGGCGGGUAGGCGGAGGGAGGCGGGUACGCAUCGGCCUUGCCUGCCGGCGGGUAGGCGGAGGAAGGCGGGUAGGCGGCGGCCGGCGGAGGCUGGGUGUAGGCGGACUGGGCGGGGGUGGGAGCGUACCCGCCGGCCGAUUGGGUGACCUCGCCGAGCUUGUAUGAGAAGUUGAGGACUCCCUGGGGCUUGGCGGAGGAGAUCUUGCGGACCUGGUAGGCGACGAACUUGGCGGGGACGGGGCCGUCGGGGGCGCCGGAGAGGAGCUCGGAGAGCGGGAU